This is a long non-coding RNA of Scomber scombrus (Atlantic mackerel), 251 nucleotides long. RefSeq lists it as uncharacterized. The record is from RefSeq and is a predicted model, not a curated record. The transcript is spliced from 2 exons. NCBI's taxonomy places the organism in Eukaryota, Metazoa, Chordata, Actinopteri, Scombriformes, Scombridae.
CUGGCUGACAGCAACAAGCUUAUAUUGUAUGGAAUAACUAAUCCAGGUGAUACUGACUGUACAAUCUUUCAAGGAGAGAUUGUCUAGCGCUUUGUCAAAACUGUGCCAGCCAAAUUCAGAGCCGAUGCCGGAGAUUUCCGUGGAGGGAGGGAAGCGGUGUGGAGCAGAUGUGAACAGCACAUCUACCUCAAACUGACUCAUACCACAGUUUCCAUGAGUCCAGUGGUCAAUAAAGGUGGUAUGAUGUUUAA